UAUUUAGCAGCAUCCCCAGACUCCGCCUGCUACGUGCCAGUAGCACUCCUCAGUGUGACAGCCAAAAUGAUUUCAGAUAUUGUCAAAUAUCCCCAGGGAGGCAAAGUCACCUCCAGUUGACAACUGCUGACCUAAAAACCUCUGGAACAAUGUUAGAUCAUGGUAAUGAUAACACAUACUGCUCCUGAGCUUAAUGGGAAUACCUCUAGCAUCAAAGUAUAGUAGUCCCUGUAUACUACUCUCUGGGCUGUGAUCAGCACACUGUAUUAGUCCAUUCUCAUGCUGCUAUGAAGAAAUACCCAAAACUGGGUAAUUUAUAAAGAAAAAAUGUUUAAGAUGACUCAGUUCUGUAUGGUUGGGGAUGCCUCAGGAAACUUACAAUUAUAGCAGAAGACACCUCUUCACAGGGCAGCAGGAGAGAGAAGGGGAGCCGAGCAAAGGGGAAAGCCUGUUGUAAAACCAUCAGGUCUCGUGAGAACUCACUCCCUAUCGCGAGAACAGCAUGGGAGAAACUGCUCCCAUGAAUCAGUUAUCUCUACCUGGUCCUGCCCUUGACACGUGGGGAUUAUUGCAUCUCAAGGUGAGAUUUGGAUGGGAACAGAUCUAAACCAUAUCAUACCCUUUAUUUUAGCAUACUGUAUCAAAGCAUAAUUUUCUUUGUUCUUUUGUUGUUGUUGUUUGAGACAGAGUCUUGCUCUGGCUCUGGCUGGAGUGCAGUGGCAUGAUCUCAGCUCAUGGCAACCUCCACCUCCUGGGUUUAAGGAAUUCUUGUGCCUCAGCCUCCCAAGUAGCUGGAACUACACCCAGCUAAUUUUAAUUUUUUUUUUUUUUUUUAAAGUACACAUAGGGUUCGACAUGUUGGCCAGGCUGGUGUCAAACUCCUGGCCUCAAGUGAUCCCACCACUUCAGCCUUCCAAAGUGCUGGGAUUACAUGCAUGAGCCACUGCACCCAGCCUGAAGUAUAAUUUUCACAAUGUGAAAGGCUUGACUUUCAUACAAAUAAUGAAGGAAUAUGUAUAAGAUAUUUUCUUUAAUUUACAAGGGAGUCAGCAACACGGUGAAGCUAGUUCAAGGAGUGUUUUGAGAGACAGUGUCUGUAGUGCUCCAGGAAGGGCAUUCCAAAAUACGUUCUGAGGUAGAGACAAAACUUGUUAAUAUCCUAAAGGGAGGCUGGGCGUGGUGGCUCACACCUGUAAUCCCAGAACUUUGGGAGGCCGAGGCAGGUGGAUCACCUGAGGUCAGUUCAAGAUCAGCCUGACCAAUAUGGUGAAACCCUGUCUCUACUAAAAAUACAAAAAUUAUCCGGGCAAGGUGGUGGGCGCCUGUAGUCCCAGCUACUCAAGAGGCUGAGGCAGUAGAAUCGCUUGAACCCGGGAGGCAGAGGCUACAGUGAGCUGAGAUCAUGCCACUGCACUCCAGCCUAGGUGACAGAGCAAGAUUCUGACUCAAAAAAAAAAAAA
Molecule: long non-coding RNA, 1460 nt
Filed under: Macaca fascicularis (crab-eating macaque)
Lineage: Eukaryota; Metazoa; Chordata; Mammalia; Primates; Cercopithecidae
Description: lncRNA (ENSMFAG00000047740.1)
Source: RNAcentral